This 94-nucleotide non-coding RNA is filed under the name Bacillus oleivorans. RNAcentral's name for it is "c-di-GMP-I riboswitch aptamer". It matches the Rfam family "c-di-GMP-I riboswitch aptamer". Rfam says of the family: GEMM was predicted in a large-scale screen for bacterial structured RNA regulatory elements. Genes associated with GEMM are involved in a diverse array of functions, including chemotaxis regulation, signal transduction, secretion and chitin. The record is from Rfam by way of RNAcentral. Lineage: Bacteria; Bacillati; Bacillota; Bacilli; Caryophanales; Bacillaceae.
AAUGAUAAAGGGCAAACUCGUACGAAAGUCGGGGACGCAAAGCUACGAAUCUAAACUAGCCGAUGAUGGCUGGCAUGAUAGUCGGGCCGCUCAA